Capra hircus (goat) is the source of this 119-nucleotide ribosomal RNA. NCBI's taxonomy places the organism in Eukaryota, Metazoa, Chordata, Mammalia, Artiodactyla, Bovidae. The record is from Ensembl.
GUCUACAGCCACACCAGCCUGAGCGCGCUUGAUCGUGUCUGAGCUUGGAAGCUAAGCAGGGUCAGGCCUGGUUAGUACUUAGACGGGAGACCGAAGGGGAAAGGCUGGUGCCACAGACC